Molecule: ribosomal RNA, 2453 nt
Filed under: human gut metagenome
Description: bacterial LSU rRNA
Rfam family: Bacterial large subunit ribosomal RNA
Source: RNAcentral
AGGGCAUAUGGAGGAUGCCUAGGCUCUCGAAGGCGAAGAAGGACGUGAUAAGCUGCGAAAAGCUCCGGGGAGUGGCAAAUACACCGAGAUCCGGAGAUGUCCGAAUGGGGCAACCCGUCGAGGCUCGACCUCGACACACGCGAACGCGUGGGCGAACGUGGGGAACUGAAACAUCUAAGUACCCAUAGGAAGAGAAAAUAACAAUGAUUCCGCAAGUAGUGGCGAGCGAACGCGGAAGAGCCCAAACCGCAGGCGUAGCAAUGCGCCGUGCGGGGUUAUAGGACCGGCGCCACGAAGAACCGAAUGCUAGCCGAACCGACUGGAAAGUCGGGCCGCAGCGGGUGACAGCCCCGUAGGCGAAAGCGUUCGGCGACUCCAGCCGGCACCUGAGUAACCCGGAGCACGAGGAAUUCCGGGCGAAUUAGCGGGGACCAUCCCGUAAGGCUAAAUACUAACGAGAGACCGAUAGCGAACCAGUACCGUGAGGGAAAGGUGAAAAGAACCUCGAACAGAGGAGUGCAACAGACCCUGAAACCAUAUGCCUACAAGCGGUCGGAGCGGCUUAGUGCCGUGACGGCGUGCCUUUUGCAUAAUGAACCUACGAGUCACCGUCGUUGGCAAGGUUAAGGACAAUGAUGUCCGGAGCCGAAGCGAAAGCGAGUCCGAAGAGGGCGUCGGAGUCAGCGGAGGUGGACGCGAAACCAAGUGAUCUACCCUUGGGCAGGUUGAAGGACAGGUAAAACUGUCUGGAGGACCGAACCGGUAAGCGUUGAAAAGCUUUCGGAUGACCUGAGGGUAGGAGUGAAAGGCCAAUCAAACUUGGAGAUAGCUCGUACUCCCCGAAAUGUAUUUAGGUGCAGCCUCGGAGAGAAUCUGACGGAGGUAGAGCGACUGAUAGGAUGCGAGGGCUUCACCGCCUAUCAAGUCCUGACAAACUCCGAAUGCACGUCGGCCAAGCCAUGGAGUAAGGGCAUGGGUGCUAAGGUCCGUGCCCGAGAGGAGAAGAAUCCAGACCACCGGCUAAGGUCCCGAAAUACUGGUUAAGUUAGACUAACGCAGUCCGGCCCCCAAGACAGCUAGGAUGUUGGCUUGGAAGCAGCCAUUCAUUCAAAGAGUGCGUAACAGCUCACUAGUCGAGGAGCUGGGCGUGGAUAAUAAUCGGGUAUAAAACCAGUUACCGAAGCCGUGGGAUGCUUAAGCAUCGGUAGGGGAGCAUUGCAUGCGGCUUAGAAGGCGGGGCGCGAGCCCCUCUGGAGCGCAUGGAAACGCAAAUGUAGGUAUAAGUAACGACAAGGGGGGUGGGAUGCCCCCCCGCCGAAAGACCAAGGUUUCCUGAACAACGCUAAUCGGUUCAGGGUCAGUCGGGUCCUAAGCAUAAGCCGUAUGGCGAGGGCGAUGGAUGAAACGGUUAAUAUUCCGUUACUGUCUUGGUGUGUGACGCGGCGACGGAGUAGUGACACGGCCGCCUCCUGACGGAAAAGGGGGUUGAAGCGCAAAGGUGUCGAGGAAGGCAGGCAAAUCCACCUUCCGAGCCGAAGCGCGAUAGUACGCCGCGCCCUUUUGGGCAAGGCGAUAGUGCCGGUAAUCAGACUUCCAAGAAAACCCGCUAAACUUCAGCACCAAGUCACCCGUACUCUAAACGGACACACGUGGUCGGGUAGAAUAUACUAAGGCGCUUGGGAGAUUCACGGUUAAGGAACUAGGCAAAUUGACCCCGUACCUUCGGAAUAAGGGGUCCUCGCUUUUGCGAGGCGCAGAGAAUAGGUCCAGGCAACUGUUUAACAAAAACACAGGGCUGUGCAAAUUUGAAAGAAGAAGUAUACAGCCUGACACCUGCCCGGUGCCGGAAGGUUAAGAGGAGAGCUCAUCAGCGAUGAGAAGGUUUGAAUUGAAGCCCCGGUAAACGGCGGCCGUAACUAUAACGGUCCUAAGGUAGCGAAAUUCCUUGUCGGGUAAGUUCCGACCUGCACGAAUGGUGUAAUGAUCUGGACGCUGUCUCAACCGUGAGCUCAGUGAAAUUGUAGUAUCGGUGAAGAUGCCGAUUACCCGCGAUGGGACGAAAAGACCCCGUGAACCUUUACUAUAGCUUAACAUUGAAUUUGGGUAAUUGAUGUGUAGGAUAGGCCGGAGACUUUGAAUCAGGUACGCCAGUAUUUGUGGAGUCGCUGUUGAAAUACGGCCCUUUGAUUAUUUGAGUUCUAACCCGUUGUUGCGGGGACACUGUUUGGUGGGUAGUUUGACUGGGGUGGUCGCCUCCAAAAGUGUAACGGAGGCUUCUAAAGGUGCCCUCAGGACGAUUGGUAACCGUCCGUAGAGUGUAAUGGCAUAAGGGCGCUUGACUGGGAGACAUACAAGUCGAUCAGGUAGGAAACUAGAGCAUAGUGAUCCGGUGUUUCCGCAUGGAAGGGACAUCGCUCAAAGGAUAAAAGGUACUCCGGGGAUAACAGGCUGAU